RNAcentral lists this long non-coding RNA (387 nucleotides) under Homo sapiens (human). RNAcentral's name for it is "non-protein coding lnc-TMEM71-2:2". The record is from RNAcentral. Lineage: Eukaryota; Metazoa; Chordata; Mammalia; Primates; Hominidae.
UAAUUUCAUGACUUGUGGCCGUCUCUGAAGUGCUUGCUGCAGUGUGGAGUGAUCGUAUGGCUUUAUUGUCAUAGAGAAGACCAAAUAAGAGAAAAAACAACAAUGCCAACCACACGAUGGGUGAGGAUUAAACAGGAGAAUGCACAGGAAGCUUGCAGCACCUGGUGAGAACUCAACGAAGGUGUGGGUCCGCCUUCUGAUGACGGAACCUGUUACAGCUGUCUGUCUGAAGCGAUGAGAUGAGGCAACCCUUGCUCUGGGAAGGCAGAGUCACCUGGCAUCAUCAAGGCCUUUAGCACCUGCUACCACUUGUCUGCUACGAAGUACCAGAAAAUGACAAAAACCUCGGACUUGAAGCAAAUAAACUAAGUAAAAACUCUGAACACC